This is a long non-coding RNA of Pseudoliparis swirei, 754 nucleotides long. RefSeq lists it as uncharacterized. Lineage: Eukaryota; Metazoa; Chordata; Actinopteri; Perciformes; Liparidae. The record is from RefSeq and is a predicted model, not a curated record. The transcript is spliced from 4 exons.
AGCUGUCUCUGAUCCUGCAUCAAUGGCCCAGCUCAACCCAGUCUCCGAACAGGUGUUGGGACACAUCCCGUGUCCAGCUGUUCAUCUCUCUAUUGCAGACACUAUGGAGAUGUUUGGACUGCAGUAUAAUGAGCAUGGUUGCCCCCAGUUCCUGUGGACUGGGACCAGCACAGGACCAAGACUGCCCGACCUCCUCCAGAGCAGUGCAUCCACUGCACAGUCAUCGUAAUGGACGUGGCACUAAGGAGGAUUGUCCAGCCGCAGAUGACGCUGAAGAACCGUUACAAGCCGCUAACACCAGUCUGCUUCAGCAGCUUGGUUGAAAUGGAGAUUGGAUGAUGCACUGUGCCCAACUAAUCAUACACGUGAUGCCUUGAGAGGUCGGGGUCAGAUUAUCCUGUCAUCCUCACCUGAUUGUCUCAUUCCCUUCACCUGGUCCUCACGUCCUUCUCACCUGCCUCUGAUCACCUCGUUAGUCCCUCAUUCCCUUCACCUGGUCCUCACGCCCUUCUCACCUGCAGCCCAUCCCCUCAUUAGUCCCUCACUAUUUAGCUCCCUCACUUCCACUUGUCCUCUGCCAGAUUGUCUUGUGUGUCCGCCAAACUUUCCAGCGAAUUCCUAGUACUAGUUCUGAUCUGCUUGUUACGACCCUGCUUGCCUGUUAACCCGACUUGAGAUUUUUGCCUGCCCCUUUUUGGAUUUGUUGCCCUGUUUGACCCUGCCUGAAACAUUAAGUAAAGAGCCUCCUCCUGCA